RNAcentral lists this long non-coding RNA (1206 nucleotides) under Cyanistes caeruleus (blue tit). RNAcentral describes it as "lncRNA (ENSCCEG00000004741.1)". Lineage: Eukaryota; Metazoa; Chordata; Aves; Passeriformes; Paridae. The record is from RNAcentral.
GUGUCCCCCCUCCCGGGCUCCCCACACCCCUCCAAGCAAUAACUGGAGCCGCCGGACGCGCCGAUGGCGGAGGACGACGGCGGAGGUAGGGCCCCAGCCGGGUGUCCCCUCUGUCCCCCUGUGGUGGCACUGUCGCCCCAAGAGAGGGGGACAGGGGGGGAAACCGGCCCCACUCUGAGGCCAGGCUGCGUUUCCAUGGUAACAGGACUAGGCCUGAGCUCUACUGCAAGGCCAGGCUGUGUUUCCAUGGUAACGGGACUAGGCCUGGCUCCUCACUGCAAGGGCAGGCUCUGUUUCCAUGGUAACAGGACUAGGCCUGAGCCGUACUGCGAGGCCAGGCUGCAUUUCCAUGGUAAUGGGAUUAGGCCUGAGCCGUACUGCGAGGCCAGGCUGUGUUUCCAUGGUAACGGGAGCAGGCCCGAGUUCUCACUGCGAGGCCAGGCUGCGUUUCCAUGGUAAUGGGAGUAGGCCUGAGCUCCUCACUGUAAGGGCAGGCUGAGUUUCCAUGGUAACAGGACUAGGCCUGAGCUGUACUGUGAAACCAGGCUGCGUUUCCAUGGUAACAAGAGCAGGCCUGAGUUCCUCACUGCAAGGCCAGGCCAUGUUUCCAUGGUAACAGGAGUAGGUCAAGCCCUGCUGUUAGGCCAGGCUGCGUAUCCAUGGUAACAGGAUCAGGCCUGAGCCUUCACUGCCAGGCCAGGCUUUGUUUCCAUGGUAACAGGAGCAGGCCUGAGCCUUCACUGCCAGGCCAGGCUUUGUUUCCAUGGUAACAGGAGCAGGCCCGAGCUGUACUGUGAGGCCAGGCUGUGUUUCCAUGGUAACAGGAGCAGGCCAAGUCCUCAUUGCAGGAUGAGGCUGUUUCCAUGGUAACAAGAUCAAGCCAGAGUCCUCACAACCAGGCCAGGCCGUGUUUCCAUGGUAACAGGAGUAGGUCAAGCCCUACUGCGAGGCCAGGCUGCGUUUCCAUGGUAACAGGAGCAGGCCUGAGCCCUCACUGCGAGGCCAGGCUGCGUUUCCAUGGUAAUGGGAGCAGGCCUGUGCCCUCACUGCGAUGCCAGGCUGCGUUUCCAUGGCAAUAGGACUAGGCCAGAGCCCUCAAAACAGGCCUUGCCCCCUUUGGGGGGGGCCGGGACCCCCCCAAACCUGUUCCCCCCCCCCCCGGGGGGGGGUCCCUGGGGGCGGCAGUUUGGGGGUGGGGCCCCCCUG